RNAcentral lists this transfer RNA (92 nucleotides) under Beggiatoa alba B18LD. It matches the Rfam family "tRNA". Rfam says of the family: Transfer RNA (tRNA) molecules are approximately 80 nucleotides in length. Lineage: Bacteria; Pseudomonadati; Pseudomonadota; Gammaproteobacteria; Thiotrichales; Thiotrichaceae. The record is from Rfam by way of RNAcentral.
GGAGAGGUGGCCGAGCUGGUCGAAGGCGCUCCCCUGCUAAGGGAGUAUAGGGGCAAAAACCUCUAUCAAGGGUUCGAAUCCCUUCCUCUCCG